This 253-nucleotide ribosomal RNA is filed under the name uncultured bacterium. RNAcentral describes it as "partial 16S ribosomal RNA". It matches the Rfam family "Bacterial small subunit ribosomal RNA", at positions 524 to 776 of the family's 1533-position model. The record is from RNAcentral.
UACGAAGGGGGCGAGCGUUGUUCGGAAUUACUGGGCGUAAAGGGCGCGUAGGCGGCGACCCAAGUCAGAUGUGAAAGUCCUGGGCUUAACCUGGGGACUGCAUUUGAUACUGGGUUGCUUGAAUUCGGGAGAGGAUAGCGGAAUUCCCAGUGUAGAGGUGAAAUUCGUAGAUAUUGGGAAGAACACCGAUGGCGAAGGCAGCCAUCUGGACCGACACUGACGCUGAGGAGCGAAAGCCAGGGGAGCAAACGGG